RNAcentral lists this ribosomal RNA (378 nucleotides) under Sphaeroeca volvox. Its description in RNAcentral is "partial small subunit ribosomal RNA". It matches the Rfam family "Eukaryotic small subunit ribosomal RNA", at positions 30 to 432 of the family's 1831-position model. The record is from RNAcentral. Lineage: Eukaryota; Choanoflagellata; Craspedida; Salpingoecidae.
GCUUGUCUCAAAGAUUAAGCCAUGCAUGUUCAAGUAUAGCAAGUGUACAGUGAAACUGCGAAUGGCUCAUUAAAUCAGUUAUAGUUUAUUUGAUGGUUCCUUUACUUGGAUAACCCGAGUAAUUCUCUGGCUAACAAAUGCAGAAGACCCUUUAUUGGGUUGUAUUUAUUAGAUCUUUACUAACUCUGUUGGUGAGUCAUAAUAAGAUAACAGAUCGCAUCGAGGUAACUCGGCGACGGAUCAUUCAAGUUUCUGCCCUAUCAACUUUCGAUGGUACGGUAUUGGCCUACCAUGGUGACCACGGGUAACGGGGGAUUAGGGUUCGAUUCCGGAGAGGGAGCCUGAGAAAUGGCUACCACUUCUAAGGAAGGCAGCAGG